Molecule: ribosomal RNA, 432 nt
Filed under: uncultured bacterium
Lineage: Bacteria
Description: partial 16S ribosomal RNA
Rfam family: Bacterial small subunit ribosomal RNA
Source: RNAcentral
ACGCACGCUGGCGGCAUGCCUAACCCAUGCCAGUCGAACGAGACCUUCGGGUCUAGUGGCGCACGGGUGCGUAACGCGUGGGAACCUGCCCUUAGGUUCGGAAUAACUCCCCGCAAGGGGUGCUAAUACCGGAUAAUGUCUUCGGACCAAAGAUUUAUCGCCUUUGGAUGGGCCCGCGUUGGAUUAGCUAGUUGGUAGGGUAAAAGCCUACCAAGGCGACGAUCCAUAGCUGGUCUGAGAGGAUGAUCAGCCACACUGGGACUGAGACACGGCCCAGACUCCUACGGGAGGCAGCAGUGGGGAAUAUUGGACAAUGGGCGAAAGCCUGAUCCAGCAAUGCCGCGUGAGUGAUGAAGGCCUUAGGGUUGUAAAGCUCUUUUACCCGGGAUGAUAAUGACAGUACCGGGAGAAUAAGCUCCGGCUAACUCCGUG